This 497-nucleotide ribosomal RNA is filed under the name uncultured bacterium. RNAcentral's name for it is "partial 16S ribosomal RNA". It matches the Rfam family "Bacterial small subunit ribosomal RNA", at positions 28 to 507 of the family's 1533-position model. The record is from RNAcentral.
GAUGAACGCUGGCGGCGUGCCUAAUACAUGCAAGUCGAGCGAACAGACGAGGAGCUUGCUCCUCUGACGUUAGCGGCGGACGGGUGAGUAACACGUGGAUAACCUACCUAUAAGACUGGGAUAACUUCGGGAAACCGGAGCUAACACCGGAUAAUAUCUUGAACCGCAUUGUUCAAUAGUGAAAGACGGUUUUGCUGUCACUUAUAGAUGGAUCCGCGCCGGAUUAGCUAGUUGGUAAGGUAACGGCUUACCAAGGCGACGAUGCGUAGCCGACCUGAGAGGGUGAGCGACCACACGGGAAAAGAGACACGGUCCAGAGUCCUACGGGAGGCAGCAGUGGGGAAUCUUCCGCAAUAGGAGAAAGCAUGACGGAGCAAGGCGGCGUGAGUGACGAAGAUCUUCGGGUCGGAAAACUCUGUUAUUAGGGAAGAACAUAUGUGUAAGUAACUAUACACGUCUUGACGGUACCUGAUCAGAAAGCCACGGCUAACUACGUG